This is a long non-coding RNA of Sorghum bicolor (sorghum), 1349 nucleotides long. RefSeq lists it as uncharacterized. The record is from RefSeq and is a predicted model, not a curated record. NCBI's taxonomy places the organism in Eukaryota, Viridiplantae, Streptophyta, Magnoliopsida, Poales, Poaceae. The transcript is spliced from 3 exons.
AGUAUCUCUGUGGCUUGAACCAGAUGAUACCUGGCUGCAUGCUCUCAUACAUUCAGAUUUUCUUGCAGAUUAUGAAUUUCACAUCAGUGAGCAGAGUUCUUACAGACUUCAAAUUUUCCAUGCUUGAAACAGGGGCCAAUGGUGGGUGCUUAUUCGGUUUGUUUAUCUGUGGACAUCUAAUGUGUUGUUUUCAUUGCAAUUUAAUGGAAUAUGAGAGAAGGGUCCAAGGUUUCCUGUUCAUGUCAGUUGUUCGAUUGAUACUCUCUAGGUCUGGGAUUGCUGGAAACAUGUAGCUUCCUACUGUCUCGGUGACUUCUUCACAUUUCCUUUCUUGGAUCAUUUUUUUAGUUCAAGUUCUCUGUGUAACUUGGUAUUGUAAUGCUAGGCUAGGCAAUAAAUCUGUGUAACUUGGUAUACUCCUGUAACCUGAAACUGAGAACUCAAGUUACUUUGGUGCUUGUCUGGUAAUAAAUCUGCACCCUAAUCAUUGCAAGAUUUUCUAUAUUAGCCAAUUUAUUUCUACUGAAAAAGAAAACUGUGAUAUUGCAACCUGCUCAAGAGCUUCUAUUCUUUGGCGGAAUACAAUUUUACACACAAGAUUUGUUUUCCUGAACUACAAAACCUGCUAUAGAAUCAAAGUGGUGAAUAAGGACAUUGGUGAAUAGUGAUAAGUGUAUAUGACUGAGGUGACAUUGGUACAUUGACAGGAUCAAAGUGGUGAAUAAGGACAUGUUUUCUGCAAAUUUAAUUUGAACCACGUUGCCUAAAUCAGGUGGGGCUAUGCACAGGGAUGCUGUCACGUUUGUCAUCGACGAUCCAGGUGAGAAAAAAAAAAAUACAUCUUGCAAAGUUGUUCCACAUCAGACUGUGAGCUGAGGUAUUUGAUGUGAAGCUAAAACUGUGCUGCAGGUUGCGUGCAGAGGCAAAGUAUUUGAAGGAGCAAUGACAUUCAUGUGGUCAUGUUUCUAAAAUUCAAGUCUGUGCUCGAUGGGACAUUCAUUUGAAGAAAGCUAAAUAUACUUUUAUAGCUUUUAUCACUAAAUCAAUUGUAAAUUUACUUCUAUAGCUUUUAUCACUAAAUCAAUUGUAAGCUCAUGUCAAGUAGUUUUGUUUUGUAAUAAAUCUAGAUAUAAAACUAGGAAAAGCUAUCAUCCAUCCUGUCAUCCAGCUGCCCUACUCCAAGUACAGAUACUUAGAAAGUACUAUGGUAGUGUUGAUCAAGUUACAUGUGAAGGAAGGCUAGGGCUUCAAAACUUAAAUUGGUGCAACAACGUUCUAUAUCUUCAUGGCGUUCCAGAGGAUGCGAAGUGAAAAGAUGUGAGAUCCAUGUUAGAUUGAACACAUUCAGU